Molecule: ribosomal RNA, 465 nt
Filed under: uncultured bacterium
Lineage: Bacteria
Description: partial 16S ribosomal RNA
Rfam family: Bacterial small subunit ribosomal RNA
Source: RNAcentral
GACGAACGCUGGCGGCGUGCUUAACACAUGCAAGUCGAACGGAGAGGCCCUGCUUGCAGGGUACUCGAGUGGCGAACGGGUGAGUAACACGUGGGUGAUCUGCCCUGCACUUCGGGAUAAGCCUGGGAAACUGGGUCUAAUACCGGAUAGGAGCCAUUUUUAGUGUGAUGGUUGGAAAGUUUUUUCGGUGUAGGAUGAGCUCGCGGCCUAUCAGCUUGUUGGUGGGGUAAUGGCCUACCAAGGCGGCGACGGGUAGCCGGCCUGAGAGGGUGGACGGCCACAUUGGGACUGAGAUACGGCCCAGACUCCUACGGGAGGCAGCAGUGGGGAAUAUUGCACAAUGGGCGCAAGCCGGAUGCAGCGACGCCGCGUGGGGGAUGACGGCCUUCGGGUUGUAAACUCCUUUCGCUAGGGACGAAGCUUUUUGUGACGGUACCUAGAUAAGAAGCACCGGCUAACUACGUG